This 951-nucleotide long non-coding RNA is filed under the name Equus asinus (donkey). RNAcentral's name for it is "lncRNA (ENSEASG00005032429.1)". Lineage: Eukaryota; Metazoa; Chordata; Mammalia; Perissodactyla; Equidae. The record is from RNAcentral.
AUAGAUAUCCCGUGGGGGAGGAAUCCACUCCUGGAAGUCAGACAGACCAGGUUCAGAGCUUGGCUCUACUGCUUUCUUGCUAUGUGUUCUGGGCAAGUAAUAAAACUCGGCUGAGUCUCAGUUUCCUUUAAGAGAUUGUUGCGAGGCUUAAAGAUAAUGAAAGUAAAAGGUCUGACCCUUAGGAAGGACUUAAUACCUAUCAGCUAUUAUAAAUGAGAGAGGUUGUGAAGAUGGAAGACGAGUGAAACAAAAAGACAAUCGUGAUUUAAGGCUGACUACUAAAGAAGUGAAAUUAUCUAACCCAGCAGCUGCUUUCAAGCAGAAGUACUUUUAAACACAGGGAGCGGGAGCCGAGAAAACAGGGAAAGGCAGGCUGCAGAGAGAGGCUGGAGCCUUCAAGUCCAGGUCAGCAGAAGCCUGUGAGUUGCAGUGAGAAAUUUCAAAUCUGACACUUGCCAGUUCCCAUCGAGCUCCGAGUGGGAAAUGUCCCCGACCUCGUCCAUUUUUAAUGUAACAGUCAGUCUAGCGGAAGAGAUCACCUCCAGGUUUUAAUUUUUAAGAGACGUAAAAGAAAAUUUGAGGAUGGGAACAUAGAGUGCUUUGUCCAGUGCUCUUGUGAAGUCCUAGAAUAUUCCUACAGAAAUGACAACAGACACAGAUGCACUGGAUGAAUAAAGGUAUAAAUGAACUAUUUGAAGAUGUGAGAAAACAUUGUAAAAAGUAGAUUGAAGAAUUCUCCUCAUUUCUGCUUGUCUGAAUUGGGUCACGAGUCCAUCCUACAUCACUGGGAUAGGGAACAGCAUUACUGAUUUAGAGCAGUGGUUUUCAAAGCGUGCUCCAGGGACCCCUGCGGGACCCCAACCCCUAUCAGGGGGAUCUGUGAGGUUCAAAAUAUGUUCAUAAUACUACUAAGCUUUUUUUUUCUCCUUUUUCACUCUCAUUCUCUCACAA